This 450-nucleotide ribosomal RNA is filed under the name uncultured Glomus. Its description in RNAcentral is "SSU rRNA". It matches the Rfam family "Eukaryotic small subunit ribosomal RNA", at positions 569 to 1024 of the family's 1831-position model. Lineage: Eukaryota; Fungi; Glomeromycota; Glomeromycetes; Glomerales; Glomeraceae. The record is from RNAcentral.
AGCAGCCGCGGUAAUUCCAGCUCCAAUAGCGUAUAUUAAAGUUGUUGCAGUUAAAAAGCUCGUAGUUGAAUUUCGGGAUCAGUUCGCUGGUCGUGCCUCUGGUAUGUACUGGUGUUACUGGUUCCUCCCUUCUGACGAACUGUCAUGUCAUUUAUUUGGUGUGGCAGGGAAUCAGGACUGUUACUUUGAAAAAUUAGAGUGUUUAAAGCAGGCUCGCGCUUGAAUACAUUAGCAUGGAAUAAUGAAAUAGGACGUUCGAUCCUAUUUUGUUGGUUUCUAGGAUUGACGUAAUGAUUAAUAGGGAUAGUUGGGGGCAUUAGUAUUCAAUUGUCAGAGGUGAAAUUCUUGGAUUUAUUGAAGACUAACUACUGCGAAAGCAUUUGCCAAGGAUGUUUUCAUUAAUCAAGAACGAAAGUUAGGGGAUCGAAGACGAUCAGAUACCGUCGUAGU